AAAAAUAUGUGGGGGGGGGGGGAGGGGAAAAUAACCCCCCCCCAAAGAAAAAAAAAAUUUUUUUGGGGGAUUUUAUAAAUCCCCCCCCUCUUAUUUUUUUUUUUUUUUUUUUUAUUAAAAAAGGGGGGGGGGCCCUUUCUUGGGGCCCCCCCCCCCCUUUUUUAAGAAGAGGGCCCCCGGGUUAAAAAUAUAAGCUAAGGUUGGGGAGGGGUAAAAAGGCCUCCCCCAAGGGCAACCGAUUUUUUUGGUGGUUUUUGGAGGGGAGGUUUAAACCCCAUUUGGGGGAUUAGGGCCCCGGGCCGGAAUUCCUUCGGGGAGGCACCAAUGGGGAAAUUUUGGCCAAAAGGGGGCAAACCCUGUCCCAAGCAAUUCCCGCGGUGUUGAAAAAGGCCCUGAAGGUUGUAAAGCCUUUUCAAUUGGGAAGAAAAUUUAACGGUUUAAUAACCGUUAGCCCUUGACGUUAACUUUAGAAGAAGCCCCGGGCCAAUUCCGUGCCAGCAGCCGCGGUAAUACGGAGGGUGCAAGCGUUAAUCGGAAUUACUGGGCGUAAAGCGUGCGUAGCCGGUUUAUUAAGUCAGAUGUGAAAGCCCCGGGCUUAACCUGGGAACUGCAUUUGAAACUGGUCAACUAGAGUAUGGUAGAGGAAAGUGGAAUUUCUGGUGUAGCGGUGAAAUGCGUAGAUAUCAGAAGGAACAUCAAUGGCGAAGGCAGCUUUCUGGACCAAUACUGACGCUGAGGUACGAAAGCGUGGGUAGCAAACAGGAUUAGAUACCCUGGUAGUCCACGCCGUAAACGAUGAUAACUAGCUGUUGGGGGGAUUUACCCUUUAGUGGCGAAGCUAACGCGUUAAGUUAUCCGCCUGGGGAGUACGGCCGCAAGGUUAAAACUCAAAGGAAUUGACGGGGACCCGCACAAGCGGUGGAGCAUGUGGUUUAAUUCGAUGCAACGCGAAGAACCUUACCUGGUCUUGACAUCCUGCGAACUUUCUAGAAAUAGAUUGGUGCCUUCGGGAACGCAGUGACAGGUGCUGCAUGGCUGUCGUCAGCUCGUGUCGUGAGAUGUUGGGUUAAGUCCCGUAACGAGCGCAACCCCUAUCCUUAUUUGCCAGCACGUCAUGGUGGGAACUAUAAGGAGACUGCCGGUGAUAAACCGGAGGAAGGCGGGGACGACGUCAAGUCAUCAUGGCCCUUACGACCAGGGCUACACACGUGCUACAAUGGGAAGGACAAAGAGCCGCGAAGCCGCGAGGUGUAGCUAAUCUCAGAAAUCUUUUCGUAGUCCGGAUUAGAGUCUGCAACUCGACUCCAUGAAGUCGGAAUCGCUAGUAAUCGUAGAUCAGAAUGCUACCGGAAUUGCGCCCC
RNAcentral lists this ribosomal RNA (1361 nucleotides) under uncultured bacterium. RNAcentral describes it as "partial 16S ribosomal RNA". It matches the Rfam family "Bacterial small subunit ribosomal RNA", at positions 120 to 1374 of the family's 1533-position model. The record is from RNAcentral.